Molecule: ribosomal RNA, 891 nt
Filed under: Triticum aestivum (bread wheat)
Lineage: Eukaryota; Viridiplantae; Streptophyta; Magnoliopsida; Poales; Poaceae
Description: partial small subunit ribosomal RNA
Source: RNAcentral
AUGGGCUUGCAGCGCGAAAGGCAGAACCUCUGCAGGCCCCGCGCCCGCGCCAGCUCCGCGGCCGCCGCGUCCCCGAGGUCGACCCCAUUGGAGAGGUCGAGGUCCGCGAGGCCGGGGCAGGCGGCGAGGAGCGCGGCGAGGCCGGGCGCCCCGAAGCCGCGGGAGCGGGAGAGGUCGACGGCGCGGAGGGAAGGCACGGGCGCGGAGGAGAGGGCGGCGAGGGCCGCGGCGGGCACGCGCGGGCAGAGGGUGAGGUCGAGGCGGGCGGCGGUGGGGUAGCGGGCGAGCGCGGCGCUGAGGAGGUCGGCGCGGUACGGGCGGAGCACGCGGCGGUGGCGCGACUCGGCGGCGUGGCAGGCGCGGGAGGCGAGCGCGAAGGACUUGAGCGCGCGCGGAUCGGCGGCCGCCACCCGGUCCAGGACCAAGAAGAGGAGCUCGUCGGCCAGCGAGUCGAUCGGCGCGGCCGGGACCGCAACCGCGGCAGGGCAGACGCGUCGGCGCUUGGCAAGGUGGCCGUGGGUCGCCAUGGCCAUGGCGGGCAAGGCGGGCUGGCAGUUGGUUGUUCGCCGGGACACCGAGAACGGAGGGAGGAGUAGCAAUGGCUGGCCACGGCCUACUCGCACGCAACAAUCAAGAAGGAGGAGGGAGAGGGAAAAAGCAAGGAAUGUUGGAAAUGUCGAGACUGCCCCUGCGUCGCCUUAUCACGGCUCCCUUGAGACGCCGCACCGCGUUUCCCAUUUUGCCCCGCGUGCUGGAAGGGGAGCGGAGUACUGCGCGGGCGACGACCGGGGGCGGCAUGGUCAUUGCGCGGCGGGGAAAGGACGGUACGGAGGAGGUACAGGCGGGGGCAGGGGUGGAAUAACGGAAAAGAUGGCGGGGAAAGCGAGGUGA